Molecule: ribosomal RNA, 443 nt
Filed under: uncultured Anaerovoracaceae bacterium
Lineage: Bacteria; Bacillati; Bacillota; Clostridia; Peptostreptococcales; Anaerovoracaceae
Description: bacterial SSU rRNA
Rfam family: Bacterial small subunit ribosomal RNA
Source: RNAcentral
UCCUACGGGUGGCUGCAGUGGGGAAUAUUGCACAAUGGGCGAAAGCCUGAUGCAGCAACGCCGCGUGAGCGAUGAAGGCCUUUGGGUCGUAAAGCUCUGUCCUUGGGGAAGAAAAAAAUGACGGUACCCUUGGAGGAAGCCCCGGCUAACUACGUGCCAGCAGCCGCGGUAAUACGUAGGGGGCAAGCGUUAUCCGGAAUUAUUGGGCGUAAAGAGUGCGUAGGUGGUUUUGUAAGCGCGGGGUGAAAGGCUAUGGCUCAACCAUAGUAAGCCUUGCGAACUGCAAGACUUGAGUGCAGGAGAGGAAAGCGGAAUUCCUAGUGUAGCGGUGAAAUGCGUAGAUAUUAGGAGGAACACCAGUGGCGAAGGCGGCUUUCUGGACUGUAACUGACACUGAGGCACGAAAGCGUGGGGAGCAAACAGGAUUAGAUACCCUAGUAGUC